AGUCGAACGGUAGCACAGAAGAGCUUGCUCUUCGGGUGACGAGUGGCGGACGGGUGAGUAAUGUCUGGGGAUCUGCCCGAUAGAGGGGGAUAACCACUGGAAACGGUGGCUAAUACCGCAUAACGUCGCAAGACCAAAGAGGGGGACCUUCGGGCCUCUCACUAUCGGAUGAACCCAGAUGGGAUUAGCUAGUAGGUGGGGUAACGGCUCACCUAGGCGACGAUCCCUAGCUGGUCUGAGAGGAUGACCAGCCACACUGGAACUGAGACACGGUCCAGACUCCUACGGGAGGCAGCAGUGGGGAAUAUUGCACAAUGGGCGCAAGCCUGAUGCAGCCAUGCCGCGUGUAUGAAGAAGGCCUUCGGGUUGUAAAGUACUUUCAGCGGGGAGGAAGGGAGCGAGGUUAAUAACCUCGUUCAUUGACGUUACCCGCAGAAGAAGCACCGGCUAACUCCGUGCCAGCAGCCGCGGUAAUACGGAGGGUGCAAGCGUUAAUCGGAAUUACUGGGCGUAAAGCGCACGCAGGCGGUCUGCUAAGUCAGAUGUGAAAUCCCCGGGCUUAACCUGGGAACUGCAUUUGAAACUGGCAGGCUAGAGUCUUGUAGAGGGGGGUAGAAUUC
RNAcentral lists this ribosomal RNA (620 nucleotides) under bacterium 06-L049659-122-016-F01. Its description in RNAcentral is "bacterial SSU rRNA". It matches the Rfam family "Bacterial small subunit ribosomal RNA", at positions 60 to 669 of the family's 1533-position model. The record is from RNAcentral.